GACGAACGCUGGCGGCGUGCCUAAUACAUGCAAGUCGAACGAACUGACGCUGGAACUUGUUCCAGUUGACGUGAGUGGCGAACGGGUGAGUAACACGUGGGGAACCUACCCUUCAGCGGGGGAUAACCGUCGGAAACGAUGGCUAAUACCGCAUAACACUUUGUACCACAUGGUACGGAGUUAAAAGACGGCUUCGGCUGUCGCUUAUGGAUGGUCCCGCGGCGUAUUAGUUAGUUGGUGAGGUAAUGGCUCACCAAGACAAUGAUACGUAGCCGGCCUGAGAGGGUGAACGGCCACACUGGGACUGAGACACGGCCCAG
Molecule: ribosomal RNA, 320 nt
Filed under: uncultured bacterium
Lineage: Bacteria
Description: bacterial SSU rRNA
Rfam family: Bacterial small subunit ribosomal RNA
Source: RNAcentral